Molecule: long non-coding RNA, 1601 nt
Filed under: Mytilus galloprovincialis (Mediterranean mussel)
Lineage: Eukaryota; Metazoa; Mollusca; Bivalvia; Mytilida; Mytilidae
Source: RNAcentral
UGCGGUUUUGAGCAUGACAUUCGUGGUUGCCUGUGAAUGUAAAAUUGUGUCCGUUUCCUUCGCGUUGUGUUGAAUGGUACUUACGUUCACACUAUCUUCUUUAUCUAUUUGUGCAUUAUCCUUACAUAAACUCGUGUGAUGACGCUUAUGACAUUUUCUGCAUGUUUUAUUUGACUUACAAUCAACCAAGUUAUGAUGUCCUAAACAGUUGAAGCAUAGGCGGUCUCUUUUUACUAUUGACAUGCGGUCUUUAUAUUCAGUUACUUUGGUACAAUUUACCGAGGCGUGUGAUUCGUGACAAUAAUCGCACUGUUUAGAUUUGAAGUUAGUGUUUUGGUGAUUCUUAUUUUGGUGGCUGUGACUUGAUUGUCGAUUUCGCGGUUUUGUGUUGGUCAAAAAUGCUGCAGUAGCGGUAGGAUUUUCAUGACUGUCUGUUGAGUUACCGGCUUCCAUGAUAUUUAUUUCAUUAAAUAUGCCUUUUCGUAAGUCUGCUAAGCGUAUGUUUGUGGACCCAAAUUCUCUUGCUAGGUUUUUUCGAAUUUCCCCUGGUAGUUUGUUCAAUAUUAUUGGCACUAACAGCGCUCCGUAUGAAUCAUCAGUUUGUCCUAGUGAUUCUAAACCUCUUAUGUAAAUUUCAAUGUUGUCAUAAAAAUGUCGGAGGUUGAAAAGUGUGUACCUAGGCGACGUAAUAUCAAUAAGUUCCUGCAUAUACCUCUGUGUAAUUUUAUGUUGCUGACCAUAUCUUUCUUGUAAUAGGGAAAUUGCCUUUUCAUAGUUUGCAUUAGUGAGCGCAAAACCUGUCACUGAUUUUAGAGCUUCAUCGUGAAGUAACGAUUUCAAAUAAUUGAAUUUUUGGACGUUGCUUAAGGUUGGGUUCGUAUGCACGGCUGUCUCAAAUGAGUCCCAAAAUGAUUGCCAUUGAAGUAUAUCUCCAUCGAAAGUAGGGAGAUUCAACUUGGGUAGUUUGUUGUAUUCACUAGUUGAGCUAAAGGAUGGGCGAAAAUCUGACAAACGGUAAUUUGAAUUGUUCUGAUGUUCUGUAUAUGAAGAGUUUAUAGUAUGAACGGGUUGAGUAGUUUCUAUGCGUGGAGUAAAACUUUCUGCGUGUGUAUUCAACGCUGUAGUUUUGACUAAGAUAAAUUUGUUGACUUGACGAAUUUUACCUUCUAAGUUAAAUGCAUACUCAUCUGCUUCAACGAUCUCUGUUUCAAUAUCUCCGUCGUCCAGUUCCUGUACUAUGUCCUCAUCUAACUUGCGUAAUAUUUCUUGCUUCCGUUUCAGACUAUCCAAUAUGUUUGACAAAUCCUCCGUGUCCACGGUUCCAUCUUCUUCCUGUUGAACGUCUUCAAAUUUCUUUAUCAGUCUGGAAACUGCACUUCUAUGUCCUGCUCGUAUCGAACGUAGCUUCAGAUUCAUCCUGGUCUCGGUACCAAUAUCGUAGAGUGGUUGUAUCGGACACAAAUUAAGGCUUAGUAAAUAAGAACGUCUGCUUGCAAUGAUACAUGUAUUGAACUCUGAAAAGCUAACGUCACAACAACGGUGACGUCGUGUACAUAGAGAGCGGUAGCGGGAACACCUCAUGUGCAAUUCUUAACACACAC